RNAcentral lists this transfer RNA (75 nucleotides) under Streptococcus pneumoniae. RNAcentral's name for it is "tRNA-Val". It matches the Rfam family "tRNA". Rfam says of the family: Transfer RNA (tRNA) molecules are approximately 80 nucleotides in length. Their secondary structure includes four short double-helical elements and three loops (D, anti-codon, and T loops). Further hydrogen bonds mediate the characteristic L-shaped molecular structure. tRNAs have two regions of fundamental functional importance: the anti-codon, which is responsible for specific mRNA codon recognition, and the 3' end, to which the tRNAs corresponding amino acid is attached (by aminoacyl-tRNA synthetases). tRNAs cope with the degeneracy of the genetic code in two manners: having more than one tRNA (with a specific anti-codon) for a particular amino acid; and 'wobble' base-pairing, i.e. permitting non-standard base-pairing at the 3rd anti-codon position. The record is from RNAcentral. Lineage: Bacteria; Bacillati; Bacillota; Bacilli; Lactobacillales; Streptococcaceae.
GCGCGAUUAGCUCAUCGGGAGAGCGCUUCCCUGACACGGAAGAGGUCACUGGUUCAAUCCCAGUAUCGCGCACCA